CAGCACCUCAAGUGGUCAGGAUGAUUAUUGGGCCUAAAGCAUCCGUAGCCGGCUCUGUAAGUUUUCGGUUAAAUCUGUACGCUCGACGUACAGGCUGCCGGGAAUACUGCAGAGCUAGGGAGUGGGAGAGGUAGACGGUACUCGGUAGGAAGGGGUAAAAUCCUUUGAUCUAUUGAUGACCACCUGUGGCGAAGGCGGUCUACCAGAACACGUCCGACGGUGAGGGAUGAAAGCUGGGGGAGCAAACCGGAUUAGAUACCCGAGUAGUCC
RNAcentral lists this ribosomal RNA (270 nucleotides) under uncultured archaeon. RNAcentral describes it as "partial 16S ribosomal RNA". It matches the Rfam family "Archaeal small subunit ribosomal RNA", at positions 477 to 747 of the family's 1478-position model. The record is from RNAcentral.